Molecule: long non-coding RNA, 2520 nt
Organism: Triticum aestivum (bread wheat)
Lineage: Eukaryota; Viridiplantae; Streptophyta; Magnoliopsida; Poales; Poaceae
Exons: 4
Source: RefSeq, a predicted model, not a curated record
CAAACCUUCAAAUAGACUGAUUUAGUUUGGCUGAUUGUUUAUUCUUAUUCAUUGUGGAAUAGGAUAGCCAUAUGUAUUUAUUUUGCCCUCCAUCUUUUAAUUCUACAUAAAAGUACAUCAUUUUGUUAUUUAUUUACUAAUAAUACAAUCUCCAUUACUUAUCUUCUUUUAAUAUGAAAUAAAUCACCAGCAUCAUACCUUUAUUAAUUUUCCAUAUUGUUCAGUCAUCUAUUUGGAGUAAUUUUAUAAUCAAAGCAUUGGACUAUUGAGCAAAUUGUAAUGUCAUUUUAAUCUUAUUAUUUUUCUCAAAUGCUUUUAUUAAAUUUUAUGCAUAGCUGUUGGUUAUAGUGUAUAGUACAACCACCUUUAGGAUUAUUGGUGUUGGAGUAGUGACUAUAUUGCGUCACGGUUUCAUUCCCUUUUCGCUUUUGAACUUGUACCUAUGCCACAGCCUGCUCCAACCCCUCCUCUGAUGUGGUGUGGUGGGAGAAGGAAGAAGAGCAUGCAUGCUCUCUGUCUACAUCCAGCGUCCACACGGCUAGAUCGACGGGUCUAAACUAUGGAUGUAGUACAUUGUGUGUAUGAAUCAUGGUGAAUGUCAAGCCUACUUAGGUCAUACCCAAGUAAGGUAAGUAUAGAUGUAUAGUGCUUAUAAAAUGUGGUGCUCUAAUAUAACUUUGUUCCUCAGUUAGGAAUUAUGUUUUUCUAUAGUUAAAAUGCAUGUGUGUUGCUAUGAUGUAUAUAAGUGACAGGGAACAAAAAAUAAUGGAAGAAGGCCCUUUUGUUUCUAUUUUAUAAUUACUCAUCCAUCCUGAUGCUUGAGCAUUUUCUAACCUCCCCUGUUUUAUUCUUUUGGUGCUACUUGGAUGUUUCUAAGGUCUAUUUUUUUGUUUUAUUUCAGAAUACAGAAAGAAUAAGCUACUAGCAUUGUGCAAGUAAACCUACUGCGAUUGCAACUGCAAAAAAAAUCAUCACAUGGUGUGAGCUUAAAUAAAAGGAGCUAAACUGUUGUGUCAUGUUCAGAAUUGAUACUAGAAAAAAUAAUCUAAACUGCACAUUCUGAAACUAUCUAGACUCCUGCCUUUGGGGAAUUAGGUUGCUAAGCAUUACUUUGUAAAUAAAUGACAUGCUAACUUGUUGGUUCAGUUUAGAGCUAUAGGCAGGGGCUUGCAGUAGGGGGGAUAUCAUUGUGGCAGUUGAAAACCAAAGCAUUUAUUCAUGAGUGUAUGAUCUGGACUUCACUUUUCUGAAAGUAUGUUACGAUCCUGCUCUUGGAAUAAAUGGCAUGCUAAAACGUUGGUUGUUGUGGUGCAUUGCAAGCGACUUGACAAUUCUUCGUCUUUAACGACACGGAUCCGCGGCACAGUAGGAGAGGUGACGCCGGCCGGCAGCGCCUCACCGCCAGCUAUUGUUUGGCGCCGGCAAGGAGAAGGGCGCUUAGGAUCUGCUGCGUUGUGCAUGGCUGUUGAAGUUCAGCAUCGCCAUGAUGUGUAUUGUUUCUCUAUUUUCCUCAUAUUGCCAUGUUCCCAAUUUUACAAACUGCUAUGUGAUGCACAAUGGCCACGCCACGCACUGGUGAGAUUCAAGGUGCAGUCGAGCAAGAGUCAGUUCGAGGUGAGGUGUCUCACGUCGAUCUCCUGCUGCUCACCAGCGAGGCUCGCUGACGAGCGGCCAGAUCCACACGAGGUGGAUAUCACACACACGGCCCUCUCCCCUCCAUCCUUUCUCUUUCCUACAACUAUUAUGUCUUUGUACCUUGUUAUAUUGCUCUUUCAUCCAUGGUGAUAAAGAUGUUAACUCAGUUUGAUAAUGGAGUCACAGAUUUGUAUCUGAUAAUUCUUGGAAUUCAAAUUGUAACAUCCAUACUAAUUUGUUGGUUUGUCUCAACCAAUAAUUCAAUGUAAACCUAUUAACAUGAAUUUUAUGGGUAUACAUUGUCUCCUCCUAUGCCAAUUGAUUUUCUCCAGAUUAGUUGGACCAUAAUUUUCAAGAAGGUUACAAACCUAGCAAUGAAUGAGACUAUCAUUAUGAUUGAAGAUAGCUGACUGUGACAAUUGUUUCUUUUGAAGUUUCACUGUUUAUGGAGGUGACAAUGCUAGAUAUAUACAUCUGUAUCAUGGCACUUCUCCAGCAAACAAAAGCUUGGCAGCCAUCUACUUUCAGAGAGUUUGAAAACGUACUAUCACGCUAACUCACUUAUCCAGAUUAAUGGUAAGUGUGUGUUUUCUUGUAUACCGAUCUACAGAACUACAAUUGAGAUCUCUACCUCCUCUAUUUCCCUUUUGUCAUCUUUUCUGGCUUUUAUGCUACUACUCAAAAUGUUUGACUAUUCAAUUAUAAACGUCAUGCAGCAGUGCUGACUUUCUUACUCCCUUUAGACAUGAUUUCCCUGUCCAAACAUUCAGCUGAACCGACACUAGCAAUAUUGAUCAGCUGAACUUGCAGAAGGGGAGAGGGAGCAAGAGCCAAAAUUUCUUCAACUAGCUUCUCCUAAGUUGCCCACCUCUUUCCUCGGGCAUG